GACGAACGCUGGCGGCGUGCUUAACACAUGCAAGUCGAACGGAAAGGCCCUGCUUUUGUGGGGUGCUCGAGUGGCGAACGGGUGAGUAACACGUGAGUAACCUGCCCUUGACUUUGGGAUAACUUCAGGAAACUGGGGCUAAUACCGGAUAGGAGCUCCUGCUGCAUGGUGGGGGUUGGAAAGUUUCGGCGGUUGGGGAUGGACUCGCGGCUUAUCAGCUUGUUGGUGGGGUAGUGGCUUACCAAGGCUUUGACGGGUAGCCGGCCUGAGAGGGUGACCGGCCGAAUUGGGACUGAGAGACGGCCCGGACUCCGACGGGGGGCAGCAGGGGGAAAGAGUGCACAAGGGGGGGAGGCCUGAGGCAGCACCGCCGGGUGCGGGAUGGCGGCUUUCGGGUUGUAAACCGCUUUCGCCUGUGACGAAGGGGGAGUGAGGGUAAUGGGAAAAGAAGCCCCGGCUACCUACGU
Molecule: ribosomal RNA, 467 nt
Filed under: uncultured bacterium
Lineage: Bacteria
Description: partial 16S ribosomal RNA
Rfam family: Bacterial small subunit ribosomal RNA
Source: RNAcentral